RNAcentral lists this long non-coding RNA (405 nucleotides) under Setaria viridis. RNAcentral describes it as "long non-coding RNA (SVIR_LNC004185)". Lineage: Eukaryota; Viridiplantae; Streptophyta; Magnoliopsida; Poales; Poaceae. The record is from RNAcentral.
UUCAAACCAUCCUAAAUAAAUCCAAAAGUAAAGUUUUAUAUACACAAACUUAUGUUAAUUAACAAUUUCUUAUUGUUUAUAUAUUUAUUUUUAAUUUAUGAAAUUACAUUUUAUAUUACGUUUCUAGAUUUAUUUUUAAUUUACUAAAAUAUUUUAUGAAGUUAUAAUUUGAACGAGUUAUUUAUUUGAAUAUAUAAAAAUUUAAGGAAAAGAAAAUAAGAAAAUAUGCUUCACUUAUCCUCUUGGGCCUUUAGUUGGGCCUAUAGACAAUGCUUAAUCGGUACUUGAUCCAACUACCCGAAAUCUUAUGUCAAAUGAAUUAUCAGGAUUAUCCGAUAUCCACAACAGACAUUCUCCUUGUAUCCAAAUCUGACACCGAACAAAACUAUCCGAAUUUGUAUCUAA